This 5208-nucleotide long non-coding RNA is filed under the name Sus scrofa (pig). RNAcentral's name for it is "lncRNA (ENSSSCG00000062239.1)". Lineage: Eukaryota; Metazoa; Chordata; Mammalia; Artiodactyla; Suidae. The record is from RNAcentral.
AUACAGUAACAAGUGACAGCUUUACAUAGAUAUUGGAUUCAAGAAGGGGAAACACUUUCUUAAGAAGAAAAUGAGGAAAACGGAUUUCAGGAAAAUUCAAGACAUGUGCAGAGGCACACAGACAUGAUCGAAUGUGGGAUAUUUGGAAAAUGUUGUGCAGCUAAGGGUAGCCAAGGAACAGGACGUGGCUGUCUUACCGAUGAGUCGUAAAAUAGCUGAGACAAUUCAUCAAGUCACUGGCAUAACUUCAGUCUACAGGGACUCACAAAGCAGUGCAUCAAGAGUAAUCCAGGAGAGUGAAACCAUGAUCCAGUUAGAGUUUACUUUGUAUUUUAGAGAAAUAAUAACCGCGAAGAAGAUAUUUAGAGAGACAGACUAUACAUACAAGGAUAUUAUUAUGAAUAAACAAGAUGAACAAUUCUGAGGAUUUUCACUAAAACCUGGUGUUUGAAAUGGAAAGAAGGGAUUUUUACAAAUACUGAAGUUAUUUCUCUUGUCACGGAUAUCCGUGCUUUGUAUUUUCUGAGGGUUCCAUUUAACCCCCACCAGAUGUAGACAGAAACAAACUUGAAUGAAGUAUAUUUUGAAAAUUAUAAAUAAUAAAGGCCCUUUCAAACCGACUGCCUUUUAAGUAUGUCAGUCACUGAGGCAGCUGUGUCAUUGGCUUAAAUGAUUUAUAUGUAUUAUUUUUAUUUGCCCUUAUCCUACGUAAAUCUUUCAUAUGACGGUAAAAAUUCGAUAGACAGCAGUGCCUCUUACCUAAAUCUGCUUUCCUGGGGCAUCAGAAUCUGAAAUGAAUUUGGAACAGUGAAAUAGGAUAGAGCGGCUCUGGAGAUGCAUCUCUCCACCGUGGUGAAGGGAGGCUUUAAUGGAGGAGGCCUCACAGUAUUAAGAUGUCAACAGGAUUUGUAGCACAUUACUGAACCCUCACCAAAGCAUGAGGAUUAUUUCCAAUUUACUGUCAGUCAAGUUAAGCACAUUUGUAUAAGACAAAUUAUUCAUGAUAUACAAUUCUUAUGAUAUAAAUUUCCAAUUUUUCUUCAUUACAGCCUCACUACAGCUAAGUGAAUCAUUUCGAUUCUAACUGUUCCAUAUUUCCUUUCUUUCUUUAUCUAUAGCCUGUUCAUGCUCUUAUGAAUUUCUCUGUUUCCCUGCUCUGUGCUGUCACUUCCCAGUACUAAAGUCUUCUUUGAUGUUAAUGGGAAAUACUCCUGUUUUUCUUUUGUCCUUGCAAAAAAUGUAUGGAUCUGAUCUUUUAUCAAAAUGUCUUGCUCUCUUAUUUUCUGUCCUGAAUUUACUUCUUAAUCAAGAACUGCUUUCAUUUUCUUUUUCUCUCUAACUCCACAGGGGUUGAUUCUCUUUAUUGCUGGUGAUGAGCUGCCAUUCUGUUAAGUGUGCCCAGGAUCAAGGUACACCAUAGAUAACUGGGGCCUGUAGUUAUUUCAUCUUCUGGCUUCUGUUUGGUUAUCAAGUGAAAAUGAUUUCAUUAUUACUUUAACAUAUGAGAUACAUUGUAAACCCUUGAAAGACUAAAAUAAUUAUCCUUAUCUACAGCACCUCUAGUGGCUUUACAUUUUUAGUGCUUCAGUCUUUAGUUGCAUCUUUGCCCAUCAAUGGUAAAGAAACAUAUGCGUGUAAAGAAUAAUGACAAAAAAAGUUUAAUUAAUAUUGUAAUAAAUGCUAUCAAGAAACCAUAUAAGAAUAACACAAAAUUGAACUAGAGUUGCUAGGGAGUGUUCCGAUAAAGGCUUUGUGUCACUAACAGCAAAGCUAAAAAUAUCUGAAAAUAAGAAGACACUGAGAUCCUGUUUGGCUUUCUGUUUAGGGGACCAUUAUUCAAAGUGACAACAGUUAUGUCUUGGCUUUAAUUUCAAUGUUUCUCUCCAAUAUGUUCAAAUAUAAAGAUAUAUAAUGGCUCAUUAGACACUAUUAUGUUAUUUUUUUCAUCAUAGUUAUAUGCAUAUGCUAACUCCAUUUAACACCAUCAAGAAGAAGAAAUAUUUAUCUUUCAAAUCAAUAAGCUUUUAAAAAACAUCACAACAUUAUGUUAUAAACUUCAGCAUAGCUGUUAAAAAUAAAAUCUCUAGAUCUAGAGAAUUUAAAAUAUCACAUUAAAUUUUAUACUAUAAUAAGAAAACAAUUAUCAAGAAAGUCAUCGUUAUUCAGUUAAUGCUUUCAAUACGUAGACUUGACUAAAGAAUAAAAAAUACAUGUAAUAUUUGAUAUAUUUAAAAGGGAAAAGGUCUUGAGUUUUCUCUCUCUCUCUUUUUUUUUUUUCUUCUUUUGGCCAUGCCUGUGGCAUGAAGAAGUUCCUGGGCCAGGGAUUGAACCUGUGCCACAGAAGUGACAAUGCAAAAUCCUUAACCACUAACCUUAACUAGGGAAUGCCUGAAUUUUCUCUUUUAAAAGAUAUCUUUCAAUUACACUUAAUUAUACAUCAAAAAUGUCAAAUUACUGGAACAUGGAGCCUGUAGUAAUUUAUGAUUUUGAAAAUUUGUCACUGGUACAUACAGAUAAAUACUGCAAUAACAUACACAUCAUAAAGCCAAGUAUAUGCAGAAAAACAUAUCUUUGUAAUCUUACUGACAAAGGUAGCUACAGUAGCAAAUCACUUAGAUGGGACUCAAUAAAUAUUUGUGACUAUUUUUAAACUAUUUUGCACCUGGAUGAUGAUGAAGAACAAAAGGAACACUUGUCCUUGGAAAAAAGAAGGUUUUUUUGUUUAAUAUUAUGGUGUAUUAUCUAAUACAAUGUUUGCCAUACUACACAUCUCAACUCAGUGGAUCAUGAAAUUAAUGUAAUGGUUUGUAACUAACAAUUCAACAUGAAAUAAAUUAGACUAAAAUAGGAGAGAGUGGAAAAAACAGUAUAUUUCAAAUAUUAAAGAUAAGUAUAGUUCAUGAAAUUUCUACUUUAUUAUAUAUGCAUUUGUUACUAUUUAGCCAAUAAUAGCCAGUGUGGCCACAUCAAUCGUUUAUUUUUGGCACUCACAUGAGUUGAUCAAUACAUCCAUUCCGAUGCUGGCUUCCACUGUCAUAGGCAAUGGUAAAAUAUCUUUAAUACCCGACCUUGGAUAUUAUUUGCAUAAUUUUUACAUUUACAUGCCAAAUAUAUUUCUUACUAUUAUUUAUAAUCCAAACAAUAGAGCAGACCUGUGACUGUAAAUACGUUUUUGUAAUAAUAGAUGGUGUUAAUAGGAUUUGUUAAACAUACUGCCUUCAUAUUUGUUAAACAAACAAAUGGCAUAUUCAUAUUCAUAUUUGUUCAUAUUCAUAUUUGUUAAACAUAAACAAGUAGCAGCAAUUAAGUUACUUUUGAGAGGAAUAAAUAAGAAAUGUAUAAUAUUUUUAAAAAUCAGAUUUCCAUUCAGAACACCUAGAUGGCAUGUUCUGGAGCAUAUAAGAGGAUUAUUCUUUUUUAAUUAUUACCAUACUUUCUCUUCUUUUUCUUCAUUUUGAAGUCAACACAAAAACUUUUAUGAGCUAAAUGUUUCCGCUUUCCAGUUAUGAAUAAGAACAUAUAAACUGUAUAAACUGUGAAUAGACAGAGAUAAGUGGCCAAGAGUAUUAUCAUCCCCAGUGCUUCUGCAUUCAAAGAGAUGGCCAAUUGGUUAUAAUACAGGUCAGGAUCCUCAUGCAAAUUAUAUCCUUUGUAGAGAGGAACUGAGUAUUGCCAGCUAGUCGUGUGUUUAUGUAUAGUAGGAAACUGGGAAGUAAUGUUCUUGCCAGCAGAUAAAGCAGCCCAAUCAAUCUUGCUCUCUUUUAAUCAAAGUUUGUAUGAUAAUCCUAUAGGCUCCACAUCCUGAAAGGAAUUUUGUCCACACUAAACAUUUGAUUCUCUUUUCCAUUUUGGAAUAUUUACUCUCAGAACUUUAUUGAAAAAAAAAUAUUACCCUAUACGUGGAGGUAAAGUAGUAAGACAAUAUUUAAAAUUAAGAAUAUUAUAUGUAAGGUUAUGAAAAUUUUUUCCUAAUAAAUUAGAAUAUAUUUUAGGAGAGGACUCUAAAUUUUUCAAUGAGGUGACAACUUUAAAUUAUAAGUCAAUAUUGUUACUUAUUCCAGUGCUGUCCCUCAAAUAUCUGGGAACUCUUAGGAAAAUAAAAAGACUUCUGCAUUAUUUACCUUCGAAUAUGAAACCAAAUAGGCUCUUGCAGACCUGACAGUCUCCAAGGAAAUAUUAUUCAUUAUGUAUUUACAGUUAUUGGAUUAAAACUUAGUAAUGUUCUAUGUUCAAUUAAUAAUAAUACAGAGCAGGGUGAACUAUGAAAUACACUGUGCUUUUUUAAAAGCUCUAAUAUGGGAAAAGACAAGCAGUUUGUCCUAAUGAAUGCAUCUAAUUGGUGCACUUUAUUAUAAAACACUGGAGCAGCAUUUUUCAAGAGGCAGUUCUAUUUGUAACUGGCUGUCUUCAGCAUGUCAGGGUGUAAUAAAUGUGCUACAGACUAGAACUGCUGAUUAGCAUUUCUGGAAUCCCAGGAAGUUAGUAAAAGCUGUUUGCCAUUAAAGAAAGACCUUUUUAGCAGCCUUCAGACAGAGAGCUAUAGUCCAAUGACCUAUGAUUUUUAUUCAGUGUGAGUAACUUUAGGAAGAUUUCCGAUAAUCUAUUUGGUGAUACAUGUGAUUUAAAAGGAAGAAACAUGUUAAUGAGAAAAUUAUGAUGCUUGUUGUAGUGUAAAAAUAUUUCAGUAUUUCUCACAUAAGUAUGUUUGAAAUGUCUAAUACGAGGGAUAUCUUCACUAUAAUUAUCUGAAUCACAUUAAUUUCUUUUACAUUUCUUUUUUGUUUCAUAUUUCUCAGUAACUCACAGUCAAUAAUGGAUGUAAUCAGCCACUGAUGAAAGGAAAAAUGAGUUAAGACUAGAUUUCAGAAGAGUUGUUAGUGAUGAAAUUAGGCCAAAAAAAAGUCACUUAUGAAAUAGAGUUUGAGGAAGACUGUCUUUUUUUUUUUUUCUUAAAAGACAAUAUAAUAAAACGCAACCUUGGAGUUCCCAUUGUGACUUAGCAGGUUAAGGGCCUGAUACUGUCUUUGUGAGGAUGAGGGUUCAAUCACUGGCCUCGCUCAGUGGGUUAAGGAUCAGGUAUUGCCGCAAGCUGCAUAUAGGUCACAGAUGUAGCUCAAAUCCAGCAUUGCUGUGGCUGUGGUGUAGGCUGCAGCUUUGGCUCUGAUUUGACCCCUAGCCUGGGAAAUUCCAUAUGCCACAGGUGUGGUG